RNAcentral lists this ribosomal RNA (253 nucleotides) under uncultured bacterium. Its description in RNAcentral is "partial 16S ribosomal RNA". It matches the Rfam family "Bacterial small subunit ribosomal RNA", at positions 524 to 776 of the family's 1533-position model. The record is from RNAcentral.
UACGGAGGGUGCAAACGUUGCUCGGAAUCAUUGGGCGUAAAGCGCACGUAGGCGGACCGCUAAGUCGGAUGUGAAAGCCCUCGGCUUAACCGAGGAAGUGCAUUCGAAACUGACGGUCUUGAGUAUGGAAGAGGGUCGCGGAGUUCCCGGUGUAGAGGUGAAAUUCGUAGAUAUCGGGAGGAACACCAGUGGCGAAGGCGGCGACCUGGGCCAAUACUGACGCUGAGGUGCGAAAGCGUGGGGAGCAAACAGG